Molecule: ribosomal RNA, 519 nt
Filed under: uncultured bacterium
Lineage: Bacteria
Description: bacterial SSU rRNA
Rfam family: Bacterial small subunit ribosomal RNA
Source: RNAcentral
AGAGUUGAUUAUGGCUCAGGAUGAACGCUAGCUACAGGCUUAACACAUGCAAGUCGAGGGGCAGCAUGAUCAAAGCUUGCUUGAUGAUGGCGACCGGCGCACGGGUGAGUAACGCGUAUCCAACCUUCCCUAUAGUAGAGGAUAGCCCGGCGAAAGUCGGAUUAAUACUCUAUGUUUUCCAAUGCAGACAUCUAAAAUGGAACAAAGGUUUACCGCUAUAGGAUGGGGAUGCGUCUGAUUAGGUUGUCGGCGGGGUAACGGCCCACCAAGCCUACGAUCAGUAGGGGUUCUGAGAGGAAGGUCCCCCACAUUGGAACUGAGACACGGUCCAAACUCCUACGGGAGGCAGCAGUGAGGAAUAUUGGUCAAUGGGCGAGAGCCCGAACCAGCCAAGUAGCGUGCAAGGAUGACGGCCCUAUGGGUUGUAAACUGCUUUUAUAUAGGGAUAAAGUGCACUACGUGUAGUGUUUUGUAGGUACUAUAUGAAUAAGGACCGGCUAAUUCCGUGCCAGCCGCAGC